Molecule: ribosomal RNA, 245 nt
Filed under: uncultured bacterium
Lineage: Bacteria
Description: partial 16S ribosomal RNA
Rfam family: Bacterial small subunit ribosomal RNA
Source: RNAcentral
UACGUAUGGGGCGAGCGUUGUUCGGAGUUAUUGGGCGUAAAGGGCGUGUAGGCGGCUCAUCAAGUCUGGUGUGAAAUCGCAGGGCCUAACCUUGCGCACGCGCUGGAAACUGGUGGGCUGGAGUGCCGGAGGGGAAGCUGGAAUUCCAGGUGUAGGGGUGAAAUCUGUAGAUAUCUGGAAGAACACCGGUGGCGAAGGCGAGCUUCUAUUCGGACACUGACGCUGAGGCGCGAAAGCGUGGGGAG